Non-coding RNA from Bactrocera oleae (olive fruit fly), 6566 nucleotides. Lineage: Eukaryota; Metazoa; Arthropoda; Insecta; Diptera; Tephritidae. The record is from RefSeq and is a predicted model, not a curated record.
CCAGUCGUUCCAGUGGCUAAACGUCAAAACCUACCAGAUCCAGUCAAAUGUCAAAGUCAGGUAAGUGAGUUGCCCUCUCAUUUCCAAUGACAGGAGAGUUAGGCAUCUCUUUAUCUCGGCUUCUUGUGGUGCGGUGUUACAAUUUAAAAUCGUUUCAAAAUUAAUACAAUAUUUAAAAUAUUUUACAAUGCCGCGAAUUCGAAAAUGCUGUGUCCGCGAGUGUAAUAACGAUAGCAAAAAAUGCAAUUUGUUCAUUUGGCCGAAAAAUGAACAAAUUGCACAAAAGUGGUGCCGAAAUCUAGGCUUUGAGGGAAGGAAAAUUGCCCCCUCAAACACGUUUGUUUGUGCAAUUCAUUUUGAGGAUUAUGCACUGGGGGCCAAGAGAUUGAAAAUUGGAGCUGUUCCCACUUUAAAACUUGGAAAAUCCGCUGAUGCUGUCCACUUGCCAAUAAGGAAGAGUAGAGAAGUACGAACCUGCUGCGCUAAAGGAUGUCCAUCGGAUGAAACAAAAAUCCUUUUUUCAUUCCCCGAUGACGAGAUUGCCUUUAAUAACUGGGUUUUAGCAUUAAAAAUAAGUACAUCAUACUCCGACCGAAAAAAGUUAUUUAUUUGUGACCGUCAUUUUGAUGUGAAUUGCGUCACAAAUAAUAGACUUAAGGAAGGAGCUUUCCCGAAGCACAAUUUAUUUUAUGAAACUGUAGGUAGUUGUAGCAGCCAUUCUUCAAACAGAGUCCUUCAGCCUAUUAAACGUCAGUAUGCAUGUACUAAUCAAAAAAGAACGAAGAAGAUUUAAGUUUUGAGGAAUUCGAAUUAUAUUCGGAUCUCGAGGGGAAGUGUAAACAAUACAAUGUUUCAUUCAACCCCGAUUCCUCAAAAUGUGACCGCGAAUCUUGCGUUCGGUUUGCAAGGGCUUGUCAGUAGAAUGCCCCUAAGAAAAAUAAACGUGAAUGCGCUCAGACAGGAGAACAGUAUUUUAAAGCAAGAAUUAUUUGAAUUAGAGAAUAGAGCAAUUAUUGCAUCCAAAAAUGCUACUGAGGAUGCAAUAAGUUUUGCUAUGAUGAUUGUCAAUUCCAUCAAUGUAUAGCUUCAAAGUUAUAAGGAAGCUGCAUGCAAUCGAUAGUCAUAUUUUAAAAUAUGUCCGAAGUUGACAUCGUCCCAUAAUGUGGGACCCACAUACAUAUGUAUAUCCCCAUAACACAAUGCUCAGCAAUUCAGUAGCAGCUGGCAUUAAGGCAGGGAUUAUUGGGUAUAGAUACAUAUAAGUGUAUUGAAAUGUUCUGCAAGUCCAGUUGCUUUAACUGUGCAAAAGUGCUCAUUACCAGCAAAGAGAUUUAAAAAGCACUCAGAGUCUUUAAUUUGCUCCAAGAAUUACAAAGAUUACACCGAUUUGUCGGAUGAAGAUAAAGUGGUAUAAAGAGCUUUUCGACCAUCUCAAGAAUAGUAAAUUUAAAAAAUUAAAGAAAAAGGGAUUAUGUUGCACUUAUUUGAGACUAAAAUUUCAUUAAUUGAGGGCAAUAAGUACAAGGUGUGUUUUCUGGUGUAAGUGAUAAAAUAGGCUGACUUCAUAACUCCAUUAGAUUUCAUAGAGUUCAUCAAUUUCAUCUGUGAUGCUUUGAUUGUUUGGACGGUUGAAAUGACGGACAUAACUGAUAAAAAGUGGAGGCACGAACGAAUGAAGCUUUUAAUAAAAGUCCGUUUGCAACAAGAAACAGAGUUUAGUGCAAAAAACAGAAGAGAAACACAGUUCGGGAAAACAUAUUACGUGAAAUUAAAGAAAUUGACAACAUAUUCACUUUUUCUAAAGAUGAAGCGACGAGAUGUUUAAUAAACAUAACGAGGAUCAAAAAGAGAAAUAACACAUCUAUAGAGAGUUCGACAAGUGGGGAGUUUUUCAUAAAUUAAAUGAGGUGUUGGGCAGCUGCAGCAGCAUACAAGUGCCAAGUGAAAUUACCAGAAGUUCGCUUGUAGAAGAUUUAAUAAGCGCGGAACCAUUGACACCCACCGAUAACUACUCUGAUAUUACAUCUUCGGAUACCACCACUCCGAGAAGUGUUAUUAAAUAAAAACGCGGCUACGUACUUGAUUUUCUAAGAAAAUCAUAUGUGGCAGAUGCUCUUAUAAUGGAGAAAUUCUUGGCCUUAGCGAGAAAGAAAAUGGUGGAACUAGAGAAAGUAGCUGGAUUAAUAGAAAUUCGUACCUUAUUUCAGGAAAUUGUUAAAAAUUCACAAUUAAUUUUUUCACUUAUUAGUUUUUUUACCUUGAUGUAAAGAUACGUGUAAAUAUGUACAUAUCUAAAUUGAAUUGAAGCAAAAUAUAAAUAUAAAUGGAGUGAAUUCAUUUAAACGUAAAAUAAUAAAUUCUUGGACAAAUUUUUUUUUCAAUGUCAAAUUUCGGUUCCACAACAAUUACAACAAUUAAUAAUUUAAUAAAAUACAAUAAACGAGAUACACGACAAAGCAAUUAUGCGUUCAUAAAUGUUUAAAAUAGCAUUACAUCAUUUGACAUACAGUGUUGCCGUAAAGUCUGCAAACUGCAUUUUUGAAGUCAGUUCUUCAUUUUUUUGAGAGUGUAAAAAAUUUAGUUUAGUUUAGAAGUUGCUAAGUUCUUUUGCAUGUAGCUUUACACUUACAUACAUACAUACUACAAGUAUACUACAAGUAUGUAUGUAUUUAUAAUAAAUAUAAAAAUGUAGGAGUUAGUUAUAAUUAAUUUUAGUUGUGGUGUAGUUUUUAGUAGUAUUGCACAUGAUGAUUCUACUUUUAUAAAACAGCUGAAUUAUUGACUAAAUAUAAAUUUUCCUAACUUAAAUAACGGAUCACUUACAUAUGUAUGUAUAUAAUUUUGAAAUUUUUCAGAUAUUUAUUUACAUUAAGAAAUAUAUGAGCCGUUUAUAUUGAAAGUGGUUUAAGUUAAUUUUUUCUUAUAUUGAGAUAUUUAAGGGUUUGCGUUUGAAUGGUUUCAAAAAUAUUGUUAACUGGUGUCAAGUGGUUUUUAUGGCUUUGUGGCCUUAAACAUAUUAAAAUUUAAGCACUUUCAAAAUUAAUAAAAAUUACUUUUUUGUUUGUGAAAAGGAAUUAGUCCACUAUGUGCUCUUUGUUAAUUAUUAUUAUAAGUUAACUUUUUCACUUAAAGUACCUCCACUUCGUUUAUAUAAUUCCAAUAUAAUUAUUAAAAUGGGUUGAUGCCAACAAAAUACUUCAGUUUCACAAUAAUUUUGAACAAGUUAUCCAGAAGAAUUGUAUACCUAGUGAUUUCUCUAAAUAGAUAUAUUUUUAAGGUAGGUGGGUGAGUAGGUAGAGUGGCUGUCGGACGAUGCAACUAGGCCUAUAGGAGGCCCAUUGUGAUACCACCGAGACUAAAGUCCUCUCACUCUAUUGGCUCCUUUCUAAACCACUCCUUACUUCUGAUGAACUACGUGAGUAAGACAAGUUUUAUCCGUGCAAUCUCCGAGACGUCGUAAAGAAUCCCUCAACCAAUGGCUGUGAUUCUUUUCCAAGAAGUCAGUUUACUGGAAGUGUCCUGUUCGUACUCCUAGCAGAGUUCUUAUGUCAUUCCUUUUGAAUUUUAAUAGUCGGCCUCUGCGGUUCAUGUUCCAUUCCUGCCACGUUUGCCUGCUAUUUAAGCAAGUCUUGAAUCCACCGAGACACAGCUAGUUUUAUAACAUAUUCGCUGAUUAAUUGUUUACAAGUUGCCAGAGGCAUAAAAAUUCCCUCUUUUUCAGAGGCUAAUUGUUGAUUGGAGCCUGUUCUGGCUAGUUCAUCUGCUUCGAAGUUACCAGGUAUAUCAGUAUGCCCUCGAACCCAUUGCAGGUUAAUCGUGAAGUAGGAUAUUUGAUCCUUUAAUAGAUCAAGGCAUUCUUUCACUAUCUUUGAUGAGACCAUAGGAGACUUCAGGGAUUUCAAAGUCGCUGGGCUAUCCAUAUAUACGAUCUUUGUUGAUAGCACAAUUUUUGUCAGGACAACAAGGUAAGUCCUUGAAAUUAUUAUUUUAAAGAAAUGAAAUAAUAUAAAUUCUAAAUAUUUUAUUUUUUAUGUAUGUAGAUUAACGUAAUAACUUUAAAAUAAAUAGGGAAGCUUUCAAUUUAGAUAUACAUACAUAUGUACAUUUGUAUUUAUGUAUGUAAUUAGAAAAAAUGUAUUUAGAAACAAAUAUUAAUUCAUUUAUUAAAAAAUAAACUAACAUGCAUUUAUUUAGGAUAAUAUUAAAGAUUUUGUCAUAUUAUUUCUCCCCAUUUAGAUUAUGUGUGUGAUUGUUACAAUAUUCAUGGUGCAUUGAUGGUGUAUAGUAGUAACUCCGUCAUAUCCUUAUACUUAGGAGUUGAAAUGGGAUGUGCAUUUCUGUAUAAUGGUGUUAAUUUAAUUUUCGUUGAAGUUCCUUGGUCUUCCCCGACAAGGUAAUAAAUCAAGUAUCAUAAAAUCAAAACAAGAAAAAACGUUAUCGUCGGUUGCACCGAAGCUAUAAUACCCUUUACAAAUGAAAAGGUUCCUUACAAGAACUUGAUUCCGAUCAUUCACUUUGUAUGGCUGCUAUAUAAUAUAGUGAUCUGAUCUGAACAAUUUCUACAAAGAUUACAUUGUUGCCUUAUGGCAAUAACUCAUGCCUAAUUUCGUGAAGAUAUCUCGUCAAAUGAAAAAGCAAGCACCUUAUUCCGAUCGUUCAGUUAAUAUGACAGUUAUAUGCAAUAAUCAUCCGAUCUAUACAAUUUCUGCGGAGAUUGCAUUAUUGCCUUAAAUAAUAAUCCAAAUUCCCAUACAAGCACUUGAUUCCGAUUGUUCGGUUUAUAUGGCAGAUAUAUGCUAUAGUAGUCCGAUAUCCGUUCCGACAAAUAAGCAGCUUCUUAGUGAGAAAAAGACAGGUGCAACAUUUCAGAUCGAUAGCUUAAAAAUUGAGGGACUAGUUCGCAUACUUAUAUACAGACAGACAGACGGACAUGGCUAAAUCAACUCAGCAUUCGUGAAUUUGAACGCUCUGUUUGUGCGUAAGUAUGUCUUAGGUGUCUCAAUAUGCCUUCUAUUCAAUAUAACAAGAAUAAGAACUUCACUCAUAAAUACAUAUACGCAUUUAUCCAUAAACUGUUUCUUCAUGAUCAGAGAUAAAGAUAUGCCCAACUCUCCUGCCAUUGUAUAUGAGAGAGUAACUACCUACCCGAGUUUGACAGUUGACUGGAUCGGGUAGGCUCUGGCGUUUAGCCAUUGGAACGAGUGGAAUGGCCAGAUUAAAAUUCUCCAAAAAACUGUAGGGGAGCGGAGAGAUUUAUUGCUGCCGUUUAAGAUCAUUAACAAAAAAUGUAAAACAAUGAAAAUUAAAGAAAACGCGAAAUUUAAAUGUAUUUAAUCAAAUGUUUUGUGAUGUAAUGCUUCGUAGUAUUAGUUUUGAAUUGAAAAUAAUUAAAAGGAUUUAUUAAUUCAGUGGUAGAGUCGUCACAUUCGUGCACGGAUCGGCAACCAUAUCAAAGAAAAUUACGUGAUUCGAUAAUCGUAUACGGUGAUUGGCAUUAUAACAUAUGAUAGCACACGGAUCAUAAUUUAUUUUUAAUUCACGAUAGUUUUUAGGUCAUAAUAGAUGUGAAACUGUCAAUACUGUUGCCAAUUUUAAAUAAACUAACAAAAGCAAAUUAAAUAUCAAAAUGAAUCCGACUUUGUUCUUUUAAGUAUAUGAGCUCUAGUGAAUGUGAUGGGGAUGAAAAAAUAGUGCAGAGGCAGCUUAGAGAUCGAAGUAAUCCUUUGGAACUGUCGUAUACAGCAUAGAUUUUUUGAACGAUUUCGUCUAACUAAAGAGGCUUUUGAAUGUCUCCUACAUAAUAUACUUAGGUUUAAUGCAAUCUGACGUCAGAGCAAUGUCUCCAGUGCUACAAGAGAGGCGGCCAAAUUAUUAUUCGAAUAGAGACAUUUUUCAUUUUUAUACACUGAACAGGGCAUAUUAAGUUUGCCACGAAGUUUGUAACACCCAGAAAGAAACGUCGGAGACCCUAUAAAAUAUGGGCAUAUGUAGGUGAUCAGCAUGAUGUGCUGAGUCGAUUUAGCCAUGCCCGUUUGUCCGUAUGUCUGUAUAUACGCGAACUAGUCUCUCAGUUUUCCAGCUAUCGAUUUCUAAAUCCAUUUCCAGCUCGGCUUGUUGGAAGCGAUGUUUUUGAUCAAUUAUGGUAAUCAAUCUUUCUUGCACUGACAGGCAUCAAGCCUCUUUGAAAUCUGACAGAGAUUUAAAAUUUUGCUGGAGUAACACCAACUUCUCAUCACUCCCACAUUUUCUCCUAGGUGUCCGUGGAGCUGUAUGUCAUCAUCCGAAACAUGUCACAAUUCGAAAAAAUUUGUGUUAUUAAAAAAAAUAUACCUUUAAUUUCCCCCGGUUAAUUGCACAAAAAACGUUCGUUAAAUAUAUGAAAACAUGUGUUUAUUGGUGUAAAUAUUUUGGAUGGUGCUGAUCAUCGUAAAUGGGCAGUAGAGAACUAUUAACUGAUCAGCGAGAGCUGAGAGGUAUCCAAGGAGGGCAGAAAAAGCCGGUGUACAAGGUACCAACAAAAAUAAAUUGUAGAAAAAAAAACUCAAUAUACUUUUUAUAAAAACCAA